CGGAAUACCACCAGCUGCCAGGGAGAACGAGCUUGGAGCUAGCGGCAGGGCUUAACCCGGCGAAGCUCUGAGAUGGGUUGCUGAAGGAUUCCGGGAGGCAGCUGCAACAGGGCAUCACUCACUGUCCAGGCAUAUCCGUUUCUGAGUGCAAAAGGAAGAACUUGAGCGAGCGGCAAUUGGAGUGAAAAUUGCUUUGUAGUAUCUAAAAGCAGCAUGGAUCGUGGGCAGCUGAGCUGCAACAAAUCAACAGAAAUUCAUGUGAAAAUCAUUGACCACCAUAUGCUGCUCCAGCUUCCUUCAGCUCCUAAUUCUAGGAGCUUGACAACUAAAGCAAACCACAGACAGCCACAGGCACUCACUGCCAGCCCUGACAAAAAAAAUCACAAAAGUCACCUCACAGGGUGGCAGCCAGCAACUCCUGUGGAAGGUCCAGCAGACCAGGCUAUCCAUACAGCUGUGGUCCCUCAACUCCCUCCCAGCAGCCCAGACUUGAAGCUGCUCAAGGAGCAAAGAGUACCUCUGACACCAUACUUGCAGGUGAUUUUAAACUGCUGCUACUGCUACUGCUAAGUCACUUCAGUCGUGUCCAACUCUGUGUGACCCCAUAGAUGGCAGCCCACCAGGCUCCCCUGUCCCUGGGAUUCUCCAGGCAAGAACACUGGAGUGGGUUGCCAUUUCCUUCUCCAAUGAUUUUAAACUAGAUAGUUAAAAACUGACUUGUUUGAUUCUGACCUGUAUAUAAUUUUUGUAUAAGCUAGCUAAUACUGAGAGGCUAAAAAUUAAACUAAAGAUCAUAUAAAACCUGUACAUAAUUCUCUUACUUCCAUCUGACAAAAUUCAGAUUCUAAUGUGCAUCCUUAUUUAUAAGUUACUUCACUUAUUAAUUUUUUUAUUCAGGAAAUACCUUCAACAAAAAAACCAUCAAAGUGAUUUUGAGUUAGAAAAUAUGUGUCAAUUAAACUUUAAGCAAAAUCUCACAAUGGUAUUUACUUUUAACUAAUUAAGACAACUUAAUAAAAAAAAAAAAAAAAAACUUUUAUUUCCCUAA
RNAcentral lists this long non-coding RNA (1048 nucleotides) under Bos indicus x Bos taurus (hybrid cattle). RNAcentral describes it as "lncRNA (ENSBIXG00005013586.1)". Lineage: Eukaryota; Metazoa; Chordata; Mammalia; Artiodactyla; Bovidae. The record is from RNAcentral.